GUCCUGCCAAACACCUCCUGUGGACUAAGCACUGCUUGAUAAGUUGCCGUUGCAAUUAGAAUGGCUAUCACAAGAAGGGUGUCUCUUGCUUUUCCUGGAGAAUCUUUGGUUUUAUUGUACUUGAAGUAAUCCUGAAGCUUCUUAGAGCGAGAUCGAGGCUGUUCUCUCCUACGCUCUCUGCUGGAUUGUUCAUUUGAUGAAUCUUGAAGCGAAACAACCCAAGACUGGGGGGAAGCUUCUUGCUGUGAAGACGAGAUUGAGGCCGGUCUCUCCUAUGUUCUCUGCUGGAUUGUUCAUUUGAUGAAUCUUGAACUGAAACAACCCAAGAUUGGUGGGAAGCUUCUUGCUGUGAAGAUUUCAAGUUUUCAAUAGAUACAGCACCAGAUGCUCUUAAAAUUUCCUCAAUAUCUCCAUCUCCACAUUCCUUAAGUAGUACAUCCAAAGGUGUAAGGCCUCCCUUGUUCAAAGAAUUCACCUCAAUUAUGCCUUUAGGAACAACAUUUUCGUCGAGCAGUAGAUCAACAACCUGGACGGUUCAUUUCUCU
Molecule: long non-coding RNA, 545 nt
Filed under: Nicotiana benthamiana
Lineage: Eukaryota; Viridiplantae; Streptophyta; Magnoliopsida; Solanales; Solanaceae
Description: long non-coding RNA (NBEN_LNC009997)
Source: RNAcentral